GAAUAUAGCGGUGAUUAUACCGUCAGACGUGACAUCUCCCUCCUUAGGAAAGUUCGGUCCCCGAACUUUUAUUAGAUUCUAAAGUGUGCCUGGCAGUGUAAGAGCUGUGUUGCUGCAGUUGGAUUUAUCUAAAUCGAGAGCUGGUUAUCUAUACUGUCACCGUGAUUUCGUUGGACGGAUAUGAUAAGGAUAAAUUAAAAGUGAGAAGAGGUAAUAGUGAGCUGAGACUGAAUUAAUAAGGAUAAAGGAUAAGUAUUUCAAUCUUAUUUUAUAAUCUUAUGAAUAUAUAUAUAUAUGAAUAAGAAUAUUAAUGUAUUUUCUUUCAUUUUAUUUCAGGUAAGGAAUAGGUACGAAAUUAUCCUGGAUGGGCUGGUUUUACGAGUGUGAAUAUGAAUACGUUAUAAUAGUAAUCUUACAAUUAGUAAAGCAUGUGAG
Molecule: long non-coding RNA, 435 nt
Organism: Temnothorax curvispinosus
Lineage: Eukaryota; Metazoa; Arthropoda; Insecta; Hymenoptera; Formicidae
Exons: 4
Source: RefSeq, a predicted model, not a curated record